CAACCUGCCCCAGGCUUUGGGAUAACCCCGGGAAACCGGGGCUAAUACCGAAUAUGACCUCUGACCGCAUGGUUGGUGGUGGAAAGUUUUUCGGCUUGGGAUGGGCUCGCGGCCUAUCAGCUUGUUGGUGGGGUGAUGGCCUACCAAGGCGACGACGGGUAGCCGGCCUGAGAGGGCGACCGGCCACACUGGGACUGAGACACGGCCCAGACUCCUACGGGAGGCAGCAGUGGGGAAUAUUGCACAAUGGGCGGAAGCCUGAUGCAGCGACGCCGCGUGAGGGAUGACGGCCUUCGGGUUGUAAACCUCUUUCAGCAGGGACGAAGCGUAAGUGACGGUACCUGCAGAAGAAGCGCCGGCCAACUACGUGCCAGCAGCCGCGGUAAGACGUAGGGCGCGAGCGUUGUCCGGAUUUAUUGGGCGUAAAGAGCUCGUAGGCGGCUUGUCGCGUCGACCGUGAAAACUUGGGGCUCAACCCCAAGCCUGCGGUCGAUACGGGCAGGCUAGAGUUCGGUAGGGGAGACUGGAAUUCCUGGUGUAGCGGUGAAAUGCGCAGAUAU
This 560-nucleotide ribosomal RNA is filed under the name Micromonospora sp. PW-001. Its description in RNAcentral is "bacterial SSU rRNA". It matches the Rfam family "Bacterial small subunit ribosomal RNA", at positions 122 to 697 of the family's 1533-position model. Lineage: Bacteria; Bacillati; Actinomycetota; Actinomycetes; Micromonosporales; Micromonosporaceae. The record is from RNAcentral.